GACGAACGCUGGCGGCGUGCUUAACACAUGCAAGUGGAGCGACGAACCAGGGCUUCGGCCUGGGGCAGAGCCGCGAACGGGUGAGUAACACGUGGGUAACCUGCCUCGAUGACCGGGACAACCCGGGGAACCGGGCUAAUACCGGAUGUGCUGCCCUCGCAUCAGUGAGGGUUGGAAAGGAAGCUUCGGCCUCCGCAUCGAGAUCGGGCCCGCGGCCCAUUAGCUUGUUGGUGAGUAANGGCUCACCAAGGCUGCGAUGGGUAGCUGGUCUGAGAGGACGAUCAGCCACACUGGGACUGAGACACGGCCC
RNAcentral lists this ribosomal RNA (310 nucleotides) under uncultured bacterium. Its description in RNAcentral is "bacterial SSU rRNA". It matches the Rfam family "Bacterial small subunit ribosomal RNA", at positions 28 to 332 of the family's 1533-position model. The record is from RNAcentral.